UUGGCCGGGCGACGGUUGUCCCGGUUUAAGCGUGUAGGUGUGUGUUCCAGGUAAAUCCGGUUCACUUUAACACUGAGGCGUGACGACGAGGCACUACGGUGCUGAAGCAACAAAUGCCCUGCUUCCAGGAAAAGCCUCUAAGCAUCAGGUAACAUCAAAUCGUACCCCAAACCGACACAGGUGGUCAGGUAGAGAAUACCAAGGCGCUUGAGAGAACUCGGGUGAAGGAACUAGGCAAAAUGGUGCCGUAACUUCGGGAGAAGGCACGCUGACACGUAGGUGAAGUGAUUUACUCAUGGAGCUGAAGUCAGUCGAAGAUACCAGCUGGCUGCAACUGUUUAUUAAAAACACAGCACUGUGCAAACACGAAAGUGGACGUAUACGGUGUGACGCCUGCCCGGUGCCGGAAGGUUAAUUGAUGGGGUCAGCGCAAGCGAAGCUCCUGAUCGAAGCCCCGGUAAACGGCGGCCGUAACUAUAACGGUCCUAAGGUAGCGAAAUUCCUUGUCGGGUAAGUUCCGACCUGCACGAAUGGCGUAAUGAUGGCCAGGCUGUCUCCACCCGAGACUCAGUGAAAUUGAACUCGCUGUGAAGAUGCAGUGUACCCGCGGCAAGACGGAAAGACCCCGUGAACCUUUACUAUAGCUUGACACUGAACAUUGAGCCUUGAUGUGUAGGAUAGGUGGGAGGCUUUGAAGUGUGGACGCCAGUCUGCAUGGAGCCGACCUUGAAAUACCACCCUUUAAUGUUUGAUGUUCUAACGUGGACCCGUUACCCGGGUUGCGGACAGUGUCUGGUGGGUAGUUUGACUGGGGCGGUCUCCUCCUAAAGAGUAACGGAGGAGCACGAAGGUUGGCUAAUCCUGGUCGGACAUCAGGAGGUUAGUGCAAUGGCAUAAGCCAGCUUGACUGCGAGCGUGACGGCGCGAGCAGGUGCGAAAGCAGGUCAUAGUGAUCCGGUGGUUCUGAAUGGAAGGGCCAUCGCUCAACGGAUAAAAGGUACUCCGGGGAUAACAGGCUGAUACCGCCCAAGAGUUCAUAUCGACGGCGGUGUUUGGCACCUCGAUGUCGGCUCAUCACAUCCUGGGGCUGAAGUAGGUCCCAAGGGUAUGGCUGUUCGCCAUUUAAAGUGGUACGCGAGCUGGGUUUAGAACGUCGUGAGACAGUUCGGUCCCUAUCUGCCGUGGGCGCUGGAGAACUGAGGGGGGCUGCUCCUAGUACGAGAGGACCGGAGUGGACGCAUCACUGGUGUUCGGGUUGUCAUGCCAAUGGCACUGCCCGGUA
RNAcentral lists this ribosomal RNA (1282 nucleotides) under Salmonella enterica. RNAcentral's name for it is "partial 23S ribosomal RNA". It matches the Rfam family "Bacterial large subunit ribosomal RNA", at positions 1487 to 2747 of the family's 2925-position model. The record is from RNAcentral. RNAcentral also lists the same sequence under 2 other names. Lineage: Bacteria; Pseudomonadati; Pseudomonadota; Gammaproteobacteria; Enterobacterales; Enterobacteriaceae.